CCUACGGGAGGCAGCAGUGGGGAAUAUUGCACAAUGGGGGGAACCCUGAUGCAGCGACGCCGCGUGGGUGAAGAAGCGCCUCGGCGCGUAAAGCCCUGUCAGCAGGGAAGAAAAUGACGGUAACUGACGAAGAAGCCCCGGCUAACUACGUGCCAGCAGCCGCGGUAAUACGAAGGGCGCAAGCGUUAUCCGGAUUUACUGGGUGUAAAGGGGGCGCAGACGGGGAUGCAAGCCAGGAGUGAAAGCCCGGGGCCCAACCCCGGGACUGCUCUUGGAACUGCGUGGCUGGAGUGCAGGAGGGGCAGGCGGAAUUCCUGGUGUAGCGGUGAAAUGCGUAGAUAUCAGGAGGAACACCGGUGGCGAAGGCGGCCUGCUGGACUGCAACUGACGUUGAGGCCCGAAAGCGUGGGGAGCAAACAGGAUUAGAUACCCUAGUAGUC
RNAcentral lists this ribosomal RNA (440 nucleotides) under uncultured bacterium. RNAcentral's name for it is "partial 16S ribosomal RNA". It matches the Rfam family "Bacterial small subunit ribosomal RNA", at positions 338 to 795 of the family's 1533-position model. The record is from RNAcentral.